Long non-coding RNA from Egretta garzetta (little egret), 3689 nucleotides. RefSeq lists it as uncharacterized. NCBI's taxonomy places the organism in Eukaryota, Metazoa, Chordata, Aves, Pelecaniformes, Ardeidae. The record is from RefSeq and is a predicted model, not a curated record. The transcript is spliced from 3 exons.
UUUUGUUUGUUUCCCUUUAUUUUUAUUCCUUGGAGAUCCACUGCAAACCUCCGAGCUGAUCAGCGUGGUUUGGCAUGUGGGGUGCUGAAAGAGUGCAAACAGGGGGAAGGAGGUGGAUGCUGGAUGAUGGGGCUGCUGAAUAUGCUGAGUGGUGUGCAAGGGAAGCUACUGCCUCCUUAGCCUUCCAGGAAUACCACUUACAAGCCUGCUGUGAUGCUGCUUAGUCUUACCCAUGUGCUUGAGGGAAUUGAAUCUGGAUGAAAAGGUGUGCUGCAAAUGUCCUGGUCCUUGUGGGGGACUACAAUGAUGCAGAUAAUCUGCUGGAAGGACAACAGCAGGGCACAAGUGAUCUAGGAGAUUUCUGGAGUCCAUUGAUGACAACUUCCUGACCCAACUGACUGAGGUGCCAACAAGGAGAGGUGCUUUGCUGGCCAUGAUACAAGCAAAGAAGGACUGGUUGUAGGCAUCAAAGUCAGGGGCAGCCUUGGCUGCAGUUACCAUGAGGUGGUGGAGUUCAGGAUCCUGAGAGGAGGGAGCGGGACAUCAGCUGUGGACUUCAGAAGGAGUUUGGCCUCUUCAGAGAGCUACUUGGAAUAAUCCCAUGGGAUAGAGACAUGGAGAGAAGAGGGAUCCAAGAGAGCUGGCUGAUAUUCAAGGAUCACCUCAUCCAAGCUCAAAAAUAGCCUAUUCUGACAAGCAGGAAGUCAAGCAUGGGUCAAGCAGGAUGUUGUUUUCCUUGACUUUGGUAAGGCUUUGGACUCUGUCCCCCAUGAUGUCCUAAUAGAGAAGCAAAGUAUGGGUUAAAUAAGUAAACUGAGGUCAGCUGAGAAUUGGCUGAAUGUCUGUGCCCAGGGGGUGGUGAUCAGUUGCACAAAUUCCAGUAGGAGGCAAGUCACUGGUGGUCCACUCCCAGAGUCAAAAAUUGAUCCAAUCCUCUUCAAUGGCUUCACUAAUGAUCUGGAUGAUGGAGCAGAGUAUACCCUCAGCAAGUUUGCUAAUGAUACAAAACUGUGUGGAGUAGUUCAUACACCGGAGGGUUAUGCUGAAAUUCAGAGGCACCUUGACAGGCUGGAGAAUUGGGCAGAGAGGAACUUCAUUAAUGGGAAGCCCUGCACUUGGGCAGGAAUAAUCCCAUAUAACUGUACAUGCUGAGUGCCAACUGGCUAGAAAGCAGCUCUGCAGAAAGGGAUCAGGAUCCUAGUGGACAGCAAGUUGAGCGUAAGCAAGCAAUGUGCUCUCAUGGCAAGCAUGGCCAACAGAAUUCUGAGCUGCAUUAUGAAGAGCGUUGCCAGCAGAUGGAGGGAGGUGAUCCAUCCUCUCUGUUUAGCACUGGUGAGGUCACAUCCAGUGGCGAGUGUCAAGUCCAGUUCAGAGCUCCCUCGUACAAGAAAGAGACGAACACAUUGGAGCAAGUCCAGCAAAAAACCACAAAGGGACUGGAGCAUCUUAUGUAUGAGGAGUGGCUGAGAGCUGAGACUGAGUCUCCAGAAGGGAAGGCUUGGGGGAGUGGAUCUUAUCCAUUGACAGGACGAGUCAAUGAGCACAAAUUAAAGCCCAUUAAAUUCCAUCUGAAUACAAGGAAACAAUUUAUUACUAUGAGGGUGAUCAAACACUGGCACAGGCUGCCCAGAGAGGUUGUUUAAGUUGUUGCUUGUGGAGCUAUUCAAAAGCCAUCUGGACAUAGUCCAGGGCAGCCUGCUCUAGGUGACCCUGCUUGAGAAGAGGUCUAGUACUAGAUGAUCUCCAGUGGUCUCUUCCAACUGCAGCAAUUCUGUGAACUCUUUUAAAGUCCUGGCACUAAAAGCAGCAAGUUUGAAAAAACCAGGAACUGUGAAAAGAAGAAAAUCUUUUUCAGUUGGUUACUCUCGUGUGAAAGGGAUAGAAUUCCUUUUUUGAUUUGCCCCAGUGUAACUGUGGCAGCUACCAUCAUCUACGAGCAUUCUGGAGUAAGAAGUGUUUUGGGCUCUUUUUUUUUUUUUCUCUAACUCUUUUAAAUAGUGUGGGCCAAAGGAGAGUGCAGUAAUGCUAAACAAGGAACAAAGUUUCAUGGCAAUACAGUCACUGGUUAUUGCAACAGAUACGUUGUGCUUGAAUUCUUCCGCAGAAUGCAUCAUACUUCACCUGAGGCACUUCAAAUAUAUAUGGCUUAUAGAAAAUGCUGAUGCCCUAGAGAAGAAGGGGAGGAAAAGUUAUGGCAAGUGAAGCGUUGCACUUCCCCUUCCGUGUGUGAGAGCAUAAUUUGUGACUAUAUAUGUAUAUACAGAUCACUGCAUCUGAAAUGGGAGAAUUGGACAGGAUGAUGCUUGAUAGGCAGUUCUUUAUAAAAUAAAUCAAAUGGGAAACACAUCUUAGCCAAGUGUAUGCCUCCCUAUAAAAAGCUUUGCAAGUACUGAAAUUCAGACUAGGUUAGUUUUCAGGUAGUACUGACUGGAGAGGAUUCAGAGUUUUGCCACUCCUAAAUUGGUGCAGGUUCUUAAAGUAUAUGUAGGGAAUUGUUUAAUGCCUGUUACUUUAGAGAUUCUUGCUACUUACUGUAAGGAGGAGCAAGACAUUGAAUCCAGUUUUAAAAUGUAACAACACUUAAAAGGAAAUCUCUGCUCAAAAACCUGCAGGAUUUCGAGCCAGUGAACAACAGCAUACACUUGCUCAAAGAAUCUGCGUGGCUGUGUUCAGUCUCUGCAUUAGCUGUGAAAUGAUCUGGGGAACACAUUUCAAUUACAAUAUGGAAAGUAGUGUUAGGUUAUUCUUGUUAACGAAUGUUUUAUCAAGUUACAGUCCCCACGUGUUUAUUAUUGCUCGGAAAGAGAUUCUGGUAAGCUGUUGACUGCUGUUCCUCUAGUACAAAAAUCCAUGGUUGUAGUUUAGAGGAAUGGUGAGAGUGGAUUCAAGUGGAUUUGUGCGGAAGUAGGUAAGGAGAAUAUAGAUCAGCAGUGGGUACAACAACUUUUUCUUCAAGGUAGUAACACAUAGCUUUGGAUGGGAACUUAUUGAACUGCCUCCAGCCAAUCCACAAGUCAUUUCUCUGUGCCCUCGGGAUGUUUCCUGUGCCAGUGGCUGUGUCUUUCCUUCUUCAAGAAAAGAGCAAUCUUACAACAGACUUUAGGGAGAAUCUUCAGUAUUUUUGACUUGGAAUCUGUGCUUUUGUCUUACAUGCAGCAUGACACCUUGAUACUAGUUGAUGUGUAUUUUCAGGUUAUUUGUAGGUGACUGCAACUGUGUAGACAGUUUCUUAUUAUUUUUGAGGAGAACUAAUAAGUUGGAACAAAGAAGGUAUACCAUGUAAUUUAUCCAAAAUGUUUGGUAAUGCUAUCUUUAUUAAAUGAGCAAAAACUCCAGUGUUUGUUCUCUACUAAUAUAAAUGAAAGAAUGAAGAAUAUAUGCACUUUUUUCUAUUUGCAGCUUUUUUAGGUUUCUUCCUCCUCUAUAAUUAAAACUUACUUGUUCUUACUUUAUGAAAGAACAUUCAUGGUAUGUAGAUCUUUCUUUCAUUUAAAUACCUUGAUAUCAGAAAUAUGUCCUAAAAAUAUCUAGUAGCCAAGCUUAAGAGAACUAUCACACUCAACAUUUUAAUCAGAUAAUUUUUCCCUUUGGCACAAUUUGUGCUUUGCAUUCUUCAAGUUCUUUAGUUGUAUGAACCUGUACCUUGCACUAUCCAAGAGUGAAUAAUGGGGCCUUAAAUUUGUUGUUGC